RNAcentral lists this ribosomal RNA (414 nucleotides) under uncultured bacterium. RNAcentral describes it as "bacterial SSU rRNA". It matches the Rfam family "Bacterial small subunit ribosomal RNA", at positions 29 to 487 of the family's 1533-position model. The record is from RNAcentral.
AACGAACGCUGGCGGCAGGCCUAACACAUGCAAGUCGAACGCCCGUAGCAAUACGGGAGUGGCAGACGGGUGAGUAACGCGUGGGAACGUGCCCUUCGGUUCGGAAUAACUCAGGGAAACUUGAGCUAAUACCGGAUACGUCCGUAAGGAGAAAGAUUUAUCGCCGAAGGAUCGGCCCGCGUCGGAUUAGCUAGUUGGUGAGGUAAUGGCUCACCAAGGCGACGAUCCGUAGCUGGCUGAGAGGAUGAUCAGCCACACUGGGACUGAGACACGGCCCAGACUCCUACGGGAGGCAGCAGUGGGGAAUAUUGGACAAUGGGCGAAAGCCUGAUCCAGCCAUGCCGCGUGAGUGAAGAAGGCCUUAAGGGUUGUAAAGCUCUUUCAGCGGGGAAGAUAAUGACGUACCCGCAGAAG